This 793-nucleotide ribosomal RNA is filed under the name uncultured archaeon. RNAcentral's name for it is "bacterial SSU rRNA". It matches the Rfam family "Archaeal small subunit ribosomal RNA", at positions 85 to 878 of the family's 1478-position model. The record is from RNAcentral.
ACUGCUCAGUAACACGUGGACAACCUACCCUUAGGCCUGGGAUAAACCUGGGAAACUGGGUAUAAUACCGGAUAGGUCUCGAAUGCUGGAAUGCAUCGAGGCUGAAAGCUCCGGCGCCUAAGGAUGGGUCUGCGGCCUAUCAGGGUAGUAGUGGGUGUAAUGUACCUACUAGCCUACGACGGGUACGGGUCGUGAGAGCGAGAGCCCGGAGAUGGAUUCUGAGACACGAAUCCAGGCCCUACGGGGUGCAGCAGGCGCGAAAACUUUACAAUGCUGGAAACAGCGAUAGGGGGACUUUGAGUGCCAGGAUACAAUUCUGGCUGUCGUGAUGCCUAAAAAGCAUUGCAUAGCAAGGGCCGGGCAAGACCGGUGCCAGCCGCCGCGGUAACACCGGCGGCUCGAGUGGUAACCGCUAUUAUUGGGUCUAAAGGGUCUGUAGCCGGCUGAAAAAGUCUCUUGGGAAAUCUGGCUGCUCAACAGUCAGGCUUUCAGGAGAUACUCUUCGGCUCGAGACCGGGAGAGGUGAGAGGUACUUCAUGGGUAGGGGUGAAAUCUUGUAAUCCUUGAAGGACCACCAGUGGCGAAGGCGUCUCACCAGAACGGAUCUGACGGCAAGGGACGAAAGCUAGGGGCACGAACCGGAUUAGAUACCCGGGUAGUCCUAGCCGUAAACGAUACUCGCUAGGUGUCGGCCACGGUGCGACCGUGGUCGGUGCCGUAGGGAAGCCGUGAAGCGAGCCACCUGGGAAGUACGGCCGCAAGGCUGAAACUUAAAGGAAUUGGCGGGGGAGCA